UACAGAGGAGCCAAGCGUUGUCCGGAUUGACUGGGCGUAAAGCGCACGCAGGCGGACGCGCGCGUGGGGUGUGAAAUCUGGCCGCUUAACGGCCAGGCGCCAUCCCAUACGGCGCGUCUGGAGUGAUGCAGAGGUCGGUGGAAUUGCCGGUGUAGUGGUGAAAUGCGUAGAGAUCGGCAGGAACACCCAGGGGGAAACCAGCCGACUGGGCAUCUACUGACGCUGAGGUGCGAGAGCGCGGGGAGCGAACCGG
RNAcentral lists this ribosomal RNA (253 nucleotides) under uncultured bacterium. RNAcentral's name for it is "partial 16S ribosomal RNA". It matches the Rfam family "Bacterial small subunit ribosomal RNA", at positions 524 to 776 of the family's 1533-position model. The record is from RNAcentral.